GCUGUUCUCCAGCCUGUCCACACUGGACGCCAUAGCCAGCCUGGUGUCUUCCACACUCUACACGCUCAUCUACAACGCCACCGUCGACUCAUUUAGGGGAUCUGUGUUCAUGCUAAUGGCCGCUCUCUGCUUCUUAGACGGCUGCAUACUUUUGGCAUUCCGUAUGGUGCGCAGAUCUGACACAUCGUCCACUGAGUACGAAGUGAGACCAGGAGGGGAAGAGGAGGAGAAAGUGGGGACUGCCCAAGUCAGCGCCAAUGAAACAACGCCUUUGUUGAAAGCAGACUGAUGUUCCGGUGUGUUAGAAGAGGAUAUUAUUUAUAAACGGAUUGCAUUUUGAAUA
Molecule: long non-coding RNA, 343 nt
Organism: Aplysia californica (California sea hare)
Lineage: Eukaryota; Metazoa; Mollusca; Gastropoda; Aplysiida; Aplysiidae
Exons: 2
Source: RefSeq, a predicted model, not a curated record